Molecule: small nuclear RNA, 61 nt
Filed under: Malurus cyaneus samueli
Lineage: Eukaryota; Metazoa; Chordata; Aves; Passeriformes; Maluridae
Description: U7 small nuclear RNA (ENSMCSG00000010694.1)
Rfam family: U7 small nuclear RNA
About the family: Animal histone pre-mRNAs are spliced by a different mechanism than nuclear pre-mRNAs and self-splicing introns.
Source: Rfam by way of RNAcentral
CAGUGAUUUCAGCUCUUUUAGAAUUUGUCUAGCAGGUUUCCCCCCUUGGCGGGAAGCCGCU